GAAAAACCAGAUGGGAAAAAAAAAAAAUAACAAC
RNAcentral lists this ribosomal RNA (34 nucleotides) under Megalophaedusa kurozuensis. Its description in RNAcentral is "partial 5.8S rRNA". Lineage: Eukaryota; Metazoa; Mollusca; Gastropoda; Stylommatophora; Clausiliidae. The record is from RNAcentral.